GGCAGCUUACACAUGCAGUCGAGCGGAGUGAUGGUGCUUGCACUAUCACUUAGCGGCGGACGGGUGAGUAAUGCUUAGGAAUCUGCCAUUUAGUGGGGGACAACAUUCCGAAAGGAAUGCUAAUACCGCAUACGUCCUACGGGAGAAAGCAGGGGAUCUUCGGACCUUGCGCUAAAUGAUGAGCCUAAGUCGGAUUAGCUAGUUGGUGGGGUAAAGGCCUACCAAGGCGACGAUCUGUAGCGGGUCUGAGAGGAUGAUCCGCCACACUGGGACUGAGACACGGCCCAGACUCCUACGGGAGGCAGCAGUGGGGAAUAUUGGACAAUGGGCGGAAGCCUGAUCCAGCCAUGCCGCGUGUGUGAAGAAGGCCUUUUGGUUGUAAAGCACUUUAAGCGAGGAGGAGGCUACUAGUACUAAUACUACUGGAUAGUGGACGUUACUCGCAGAAUAAGCACCGGCUAACUCUGUGCCAGCAGCCGCGGUAAUACAGAGGGUGCGAGCGUUAAUCGGAUUUACUGGGCGUAAAGCGUGCGUAGGCGGCUGAUUAAGUCGGAUGUGAAAUCCCUGAGCUUAACUUAGGAAUUGCAUUCGAUACUGGUCAGCUAGAGUAUGGGAGAGGAUGGUAGAAUUCCAGGUGUAGCGGUGAAAUGCGUAGAGAUCUGGAGGAAUACCGAUGGCGAAGGCAGCCAUCUGGCCUAAUACUGACGCUGAGGUACGAAAGCAUGGGGAGCAAACAGGAUUAGAUACCCUGGUAGUCCAUGCCGUAAACGAUGUCUACUAGCCGUUGGGGCCUUUGAGGCUUUAGUGGCGCAGCUAACGCGAUAAGUAGACCGCCUGGGGAGUACGGUCGCAAGACUAAAACUCAAAUGAAUUGACGGGGGCCCGCACAAGCGGUGGAGCAUGUGGUUUAAUUCGAUGCAACGCGAAGAACCUUACCUGUCUUGACAUAGUAAGAACUUUCCAGAGAUGGAUUGGUUGCCUUCGGGAACUUACAUACAGGUGCUGCAUGGCUGUCGUCAGCUCGUGUCGUGAGAUGUUGG
This 1040-nucleotide ribosomal RNA is filed under the name Acinetobacter johnsonii. RNAcentral describes it as "bacterial SSU rRNA". It matches the Rfam family "Bacterial small subunit ribosomal RNA", at positions 41 to 1078 of the family's 1533-position model. The record is from RNAcentral. Lineage: Bacteria; Pseudomonadati; Pseudomonadota; Gammaproteobacteria; Moraxellales; Moraxellaceae.